UGGGGAAUUUUGGACAAUGGGCGAAAGCCUGAUCCAGCAAUGCCGCGUGUGUGAAGAAGGCCUUCGGGUUGUAAAGCACUUUUGUCCGGAAAGAAAUCCUUGGCUCUAAUACAGUCGGGGGAUGACGGUACCGGAAGAAUAAGCACCGGCUAACUACGUGCCAGCAGCCGCGGUAAUACGUAGGGUGCAAGCGUUAAUCGGAAUUACUGGGCGUAAAGCGUGCGCAGGCGGUUUGCUAAGACCGAUGUGAAAUCCCCGGGCUCAACCUGGGAACUGCAUUGGUGACUGGCAGGCUAGAGUAUGGCAGAGGGGGGUAGAAUUCCACGUGUAGCAGUGAAAUGCGUAGAGAUGUGGAGGAAUACCGAUGGCGAAGGCAGCCCCCUGGGCCAAUACUGACGCUCAUGCACGAAAGCGUGGGGAGCAAACGGGAUUAGAUACCCUGGUAGUCCACGCCCUAAACGAUGUCAACUAGUUGUUGGGGAUUC
Molecule: ribosomal RNA, 485 nt
Filed under: uncultured bacterium
Lineage: Bacteria
Description: partial 16S ribosomal RNA
Rfam family: Bacterial small subunit ribosomal RNA
Source: RNAcentral